UUAGAUAUUGGAGUUUGAAGGUCAAUGAGUGUUUCUAAAAUCUUUUGCAAUUUGUCAAUUGGAUUGAAGUGAAAUUCUUUUGUAUAGAUAUUAUAUUUUAUUUUCAAUAUUUAGGUGAAAUUUGAGAGAAAUUAACUAGUUCAAAAAGGAGAUAUUUGCACUAAAAGUUGAAUAUUCAGAUUGGAAUAGGAGGCCAUGUAACAUCCAAUUGGAUUAUCUUGCAUUUCUCUCAAUUGGUAAGUUCAAUUGUUUUCAUCUUUUUUGUGAUUGUUUCUUAUUAAGACAUUAAAAAGUAUGCAAAUUUUGAGUUGUUAACAAUGGUUUGAUCAUUAAUUGUUGAGGUUCUAUUUUGCCAUAGGAUUAGUUAAGAAUUUAUUUAAGACCUAAGAUUUAAUUAGAAUUUUAUUA
Molecule: long non-coding RNA, 408 nt
Filed under: Physcomitrium patens
Lineage: Eukaryota; Viridiplantae; Streptophyta; Bryopsida; Funariales; Funariaceae
Description: long non-coding RNA (PPAT_LNC011961)
Source: RNAcentral